This 32-nucleotide non-coding RNA is filed under the name Macaca fascicularis (crab-eating macaque). Lineage: Eukaryota; Metazoa; Chordata; Mammalia; Primates; Cercopithecidae. RNAcentral also lists the same sequence under 1 other name. The record is from RNAcentral.
UGUUUGAUGUAAUGCACCAUGGUGAUCUGAUA